AAGCCACACUCUGUGACAGAUUAUCAAAGCAGUCAGGCACAAUGUGAGCUUGCUCCAGCAAGGAAGUCUAACCUAUUCCAGCACUCUCCCUGCUGUGAGAUAGGCUGUCAUAUAGACUUAAACAGU
This is a small nucleolar RNA of Octodon degus (degu), 126 nucleotides long. The record is from Ensembl. Lineage: Eukaryota; Metazoa; Chordata; Mammalia; Rodentia; Octodontidae.